This 694-nucleotide long non-coding RNA is filed under the name Phascolarctos cinereus (koala). RNAcentral describes it as "lncRNA (ENSPCIG00000032638.1)". The record is from RNAcentral. Lineage: Eukaryota; Metazoa; Chordata; Mammalia; Diprotodontia; Phascolarctidae.
CAAAUAAGCCUAGGCCUACAAGAUCCAAUACUGGUGAAUAAGGAACAGACCAAGCACAAGUGAUGAACCUCCCUGGCUGGCAUUUCUUAGGCUGCUUAUGUUGAGUAUCAUUCUGAUACCAUUAAGUUGGGGUUAGGCUACUUGAAUUUUUGCUGACCAAUUAGUGUUUGGAUUGCUCAAAUCCAGAUUUAUUGGUACUCAGCUGCCACUGGAGAGAGGGCAAAGACUGUUUUGACAUAGAUCAUGGAUGGUCAGUAUUGGGAGGAAGUCUGUAGGUCAUAGAGGUCAGCCACCUUAUCAUACAGGAGAAAGCCAGCUCCAGGUGGCAGGUGUCUCUUGCAAAUACCAUUUGGAUAUUUGUAGAGUUUUACUCACUGAAUUCUUCUUGCUCCUAGAGAGAAUAAGUGAUGACAAAUGAAAGGACACCUUACAAAGGAAUAUUAGUCAAAAGAGAAGGAUGUUUUCCUUCUUACGAGGUUUCUCGUGUGUAUCUGCAAAAAAGAAAAAAGUACAAAAGGAAAAGCCAGUUUUAUCAGAUGCUGAGAGGAAGAGGUGUGAAUCAAGAAAUUAUAUUGCUGUAGACAAAGCAUCCACAAAUUGUUCUAUUUUAUCAUGUUUUACUACAAGAAAAUGGAGGAAAACAAAGAAAUAAAAUGAAAAUAAAUUUUUGUCAUUGACUAUUACUAAGACUUGC